This 429-nucleotide ribosomal RNA is filed under the name Bacteroidota bacterium. RNAcentral describes it as "Bacteroidetes bacterium partial 16S ribosomal RNA". It matches the Rfam family "Bacterial small subunit ribosomal RNA", at positions 355 to 776 of the family's 1533-position model. The record is from RNAcentral. Lineage: Bacteria; Pseudomonadati; Bacteroidota.
UAGGGAAUCUUCGGCAAUGGGGGGAACCCUGACCGAGCAACGCCGCGUGAGUGAAGAAGGUUUUCGGAUCGUAAAGCUCUGUUGUUAAGGAAGAACGAGUGUGAGAAUGGAAAGUUCAUGCUGUGACGGUACUUAACCAGAAAGGGACGGCUAACUACGUGCCAGCAGCCGCGGUAAUACGUAGGUCCCGAGCGUUGUCCGGAUUUAUUGGGCGUAAAGCGAGCGCAGGCGGUUAGAUAAGUCUGAAGUUAAAGGCAGUGGCUCAACCAUUGUAGGCUUUGGAAACUGUUUAACUUGAGUGCAGAAGGGGAGAGUGGAAUUCCAUGUGUAGCGGUGAAAUGCGUAGAUAUAUGGAGGAACACCGGUGGCGAAGGCGACUCUCUGGUCUGUAACUGACGCUGAGGCUCGAAAGCGUGGGUAGCAAACAGG